Molecule: non-coding RNA, 23 nt
Filed under: Arabidopsis thaliana (thale cress)
Lineage: Eukaryota; Viridiplantae; Streptophyta; Magnoliopsida; Brassicales; Brassicaceae
Source: RNAcentral
GGACAAAAAUUGCUGAGUGGCCG